RNAcentral lists this ribosomal RNA (494 nucleotides) under uncultured Chitinophagaceae bacterium. RNAcentral's name for it is "partial 16S ribosomal RNA". The record is from RNAcentral. Lineage: Bacteria; Pseudomonadati; Bacteroidota; Chitinophagia; Chitinophagales; Chitinophagaceae.
CACGGAGUUAGCCGGUGCUUAUUCAUCUGGUACCGUCGGCUACAAUAGAAAUCGUAGGUUUCUUCCCAGAUAAAAGAAGUUUACAACGCAGAACGCCUUCAUCCUUCACGCGGCAUGGCUGGGUCAGACUUGCGUCCAUUGCCCAAUAUUCCUCACUGCUGCCUCCCGUAGGAGUCGGGCCCGUGUCUCAGUGCCCGUGUGGCUGAUCAUGCUCUCACAUCAGCUACCCAUCGUCGCCUUGGUAGGCCGUUACCCUACCAACUAGCUAAUGGGACGCACGCUCAUCUCAUUCCGUCGGAACUUUAAUAUCAGAAAGAUGCCCUCCUAAUAUACUAUGGGAUAUUAAUCCGGAUUUCUCCGGGCUAUCUCCCAGAACGAGGUAAAUUGCGUACGUGUUCCGCACCCGUUUGCCGGUCGCCGCCAGGUAUUGCUACCCGCGCUGCCCCUCGACUUGCAUGUGUUAAGCCUGCCGCUAGCGUUCAUCCUGAGCCAGG